GAGUUUGAUCUUGGCUCAGAUUGAACGCUGGCGGCAGGCCUAACACAUGCAAGUCGAGCGGAUGAAGGGAGCUUGCUCCUGGAUUCAGCGGCGGACGGGUGAGUAAUGCCUAGGAAUCUGCCUGGUAGUGGGGAUAACGUCCGGAAACGGGCGCUAAUACCGCAUACGUCCUGAGGGAGAAAGUGGGGAUCUUCGGACCUCACGCUAUCAGACGAGCCUAGGUCGGAUUAGCUAGUUGGUGGGGUAAAGGCCUACCAAGGCGACGAUCCGUAACUGGCCUGAGAGGAUGAUCAGUCACACUGGAACUGAGACACGGUCCAGACUCCUACGGGAGGCAGCAGUGGGGAAUAUUGGACAAUGGGCGAAAGCCUGAUCCAGCCAUGCCGCGUGUGUGAGAAGGUCUUCGGAUUGUAAAGCACUUUAAGUUGGGAGGAAGGGCAGUAAGUUAAUACCUUGCUGUUUGACGUUACCAACAGAAUAAGCACCGGCUAACUUUGUGCCAGCCG
This 506-nucleotide ribosomal RNA is filed under the name uncultured microorganism. RNAcentral's name for it is "bacterial SSU rRNA". It matches the Rfam family "Bacterial small subunit ribosomal RNA", at positions 9 to 514 of the family's 1533-position model. The record is from RNAcentral.